RNAcentral lists this ribosomal RNA (487 nucleotides) under uncultured bacterium. RNAcentral describes it as "bacterial SSU rRNA". It matches the Rfam family "Bacterial small subunit ribosomal RNA", at positions 30 to 508 of the family's 1533-position model. The record is from RNAcentral.
AUUGAACGCUGGCGGCAUGCCUUACACAUGCAAGUCGAACGGCAGCAUAGGAGCUUGCUCCUGAUGGCGAGUGGCGAACGGGUGAGUAAUAUAUCGGAACGUGCCCUAGAGUGGGGGAUAACUAGUCGAAAGACUAGCUAAUACCGCAUACGAUCUACGGAUGAAAGUGGGGGAUCGCAAGACCUCAUGCUCCUGGAGCGGCCGAUAUCUGAUUAGCUAGUUGGUGGGGUAAAAGCCUACCAAGGCAACGAUCAGUAGCUGGUCUGAGAGGACGACCAGCCACACUGGGACUGAGACACGGCCCAGACUCCUACGGGAGGCAGCAGUGGGGAAUUUUGGACAAUGGGGGCAACCCUGAUCCAGCAAUGCCGCGUGAGUGAAGAAGGCCUUCGGGUUGUAAAGCUCUUUUGUCAGGGAAGAAACGGUGGUGGCGAAUAACUACUACUAAUGACGGUACCUGAAGAAUAAGCACCGGCUAACUACGUGC